Molecule: unclassified non-coding RNA, 351 nt
Filed under: Mycoplasmoides gallisepticum
Lineage: Bacteria; Bacillati; Mycoplasmatota; Mycoplasmoidales; Mycoplasmoidaceae
Description: Mycoplasma gallisepticum partial 16S-23S ribosomal RNA intergenic spacer
Source: RNAcentral
CGUGGGGGUGGAUUACCUCCUUUCUAUGGAGUAUAUUAAUACACUAACACGAUAUACACCUGUUACAUAUAACGGUGAAACAAUUAAAACCCAGCAAGAAAAGUUAAACCCAUAAAAGCAAAUUGAUAACUUAAAAAUUGUUGGUCGGAUUCUAUUCAGUUCUCAAGGGGUAUUUUAAAAGCAGUUAUUAAGUUUUUUCUUUAAAGCUUUUUAACUUAAUAACACUUUAAGUUAACCUUGUAAACAUCAUUAAGUUUACCUUUCAAAGAUCCAAGAACAUUUAUUAAAACCUUUUUGGUCAAAUAACUAAUAAACUAACUAACUAGAUCAUUGAUGCAUAAUUAACUGCAU